CCUGCAGCCAGCAAUUGGCAAAUUUGAAUCUCAAUCCUUCCCUUGGUCAAACCCAGUGAUCCCGCCGUCGUAGCCCCUACCCUACUGCCUGUUGCCGAGGACGCCUAGCCUCUCCAUCUCCAGUUUUCGCCACCCUUCACUAUUGUGAGUUUGCUCGACUGCUCCUCUCUUUUCUUUUUUUCAUUUUCGUUCGCUCAAAAUUUAGUUAAUUUUUUGAUUUGUCUUUUAUGAUUUUUGUUUUAUGAAUUAUGUUUAUGAGUUACGGAUAUGUUUGUGAGCCUAUAGUGUAAACUCUUGACUGUGAGGAUUUUGAUUUUUAUGAGUUUGAGAAUUGGGGAUUUUGCGAAUAUUAGAGAAUAUUGGGGAUUUUUUUUUCUACUUGACCGACUGGUUGAGAAAUUUUUUGUACCUGGUAAAAGAUCAUGGCAUUUGUUAGGUGUUUAAAAGUGCUAUGAUGGAUUGAAGUAAUGAAUAGUGAUGUCUUGCUAUCAUGUGAUUUUGGGAAUUAUAGAGAAUGCAAGAUGCAUCACAAGAGAUCAAAAGGGUAAGGGCACAGAUUGAAGAAAAUGAGCAAUUGUCUAUAUUUAUGAAGAGACUUCGGGGUCAAAAUUUGAAAGACACAUAGUUUGUUGAUGACAAUAACAAACUUUGGUUAGCUGAGGUCAGUAGUGUGACUUUCAUUUUGUCAAAUGUUGCUUCUAAAAUACCUUGUUAGGUGUCUCACUUGCGCGUUGCGUUUUCUCUGUUCUUUGUCUUUUCCUUUUCUUCUCUUCCCAACUUAGAAAUUACCUGGAUUUUCAAGUUUUGCUAAUGGGAAGAUUGUUAAAAUGUGAGGUUUUCUUAAAUACAACUUCCAUUAUGGUCCACCUAUAUUUCAAGUUGUGUGUUUUAUGAGAGUACUAUACUAGUUACCGUCUAAAUUUUUGGAUUCACUUCAUUCUAGGUGGUAAGUGAAACCUUUAGGUUUCCUUUAUAUUCAAUUUCCAAAAAGGAAGUUUGGUGUAUCUGUGUUGUAUAUAAUUUUUACGUUUUAGUGCAUUUACAUAUAGAUUGAAGAAUUUUUAAUAUUAUUUAAUUAAAUAUUAAUAAAAGACCUUGCUAUUACAGUCGCAACAAUCAAUGGUCAACCACCGCCCUAGCUGAGCUUCAAUUCUAGAUUCGCCACUCGUUCUACAAUAUUUUCCUUAGAACUAGAGGAAAUUAUUAUGUCAUGGAACCUAAGAUACCAUUACCAAGAAGCUUGUUUCUGUCCCAUGUCGUUUUCUAUUUUUUUUUUUAAUUUUUUUUUUCGAGUUUACAUCAUGCAUUCCAUUCUCUUAACUAAAAAAGCUUCAUCUUGGUUCAUAGAAACUUCUUCCUCUAAAUUCCCAGCAAGAGAGGAGGUUUUACAUCCAUUUGUGUAACUCUAGAUCGUAUUCAGCUACUAACGCCAGAAUAAUUAUAAGAGAGUUCUUUUUAAAAACUGGUAGAAAAGUCUCUUUGUAAUUGUUGCACUUUUUCUGAAUAAAACCUGUUUCUACAAAUUUAGUUCCAAUAUUUCCCUUUGCAUUGCGCUUGGUCUUAAAGACAUUUACACUUGAUCUUCUUACAACCUACAUGCAACUCAACAAGGUUCCAAACUUGACUUAGAUCCAUUUAACUUUGCUCUUCUUCGAUGAAACCAAUCAUAUAAAAGAACUAACACUUUCAAUGACUUGAUAAAAUGAUUUUUAUUUUUUUAUUUUUUUCUCUUCGAGAUCUUCUUAAUUUAUUCCUUAUGGCUCCACUAUUGUUGAUUCAUUAUUGAGUGUUCAAUCUUUUAAUUGUUAUCCUUGAGCAUUAUUUGGUUGUAACAUCAUCUUGGGAACAACCACGCUAGAAGUCGUGGGUAAAACAACCUUUAUCAUAACUUCUUGAAUAACUACUUUUUAUGGCUCUCUGAUGUGAUAUCUACACCUAUCCAAGCCAUCAAAAAUGAAUAUUUAAUUGUCAAUUUGAUAAAAUUAUUGUCGAAUUUGGUUAUAUAUUAAAAAGUUUACAUGAACAAAAUGAAAUUGUCUCUUUUUUCUUUCGAGACACUUUUUGAAUUAAUUGAAUAUAAGAAAAUUUUCCUUUUCUUUCUCAAAUUCUUUAAGAAAAUCAACUGAAACACGAAUUCUGACCUAAAUCUUGGCUCUAUAAUUACCAAACUAUAAUCUAAUAACUAAAGACACUUCUUAUACAAUAGAAUACACACUUUGUUGCAAUCAAAAGAGGCAAAAAUCAUUCUUUCAAGGAGAAUUAAGGGGAAAUUUAUAAGGGAUUCAUUCUUGAAUCAUCUUUCUUGGUGCCUGGGCACGAAAGAAGAAGGUGCAAUUGAAUAUUGAUCAAGUUAGCUUGACGAUAUUCAAGAAUUCACCGCUUCUCCACUUUUUUCAAAUUCGAGUGAUGUUUAGUUAAUCCUAAUGAUUUCUUGUAAUUUUGUGAUACUUGGCUAAAUUUUUAGUCAUUACAUUAUGAUAUUUUAAUAUUAUUUGCAGAGGACUCGACACGUGUCGUGUGCCGAUGAUAGUUACCAGCUGAACACCGGACCUACUAUCAAGGUAACCUUGACUUAUUUGACUGGAAAAUAUUUUUAACAAAAUUGUCAAAGCUUCCUCUGAAAUAUGAACUAAAAUCACCUGAACAAUAACCAAUUUUCCUCAAAUUAAUACCUAUAAUAUGAAUAGGUAAGACAGUCCCUCAAAAUACAAACUAUUCAAAUAAAAUGUUGGCAUAUCGACAUUUACUUGCUUUACGCUCAACAAUCCUCAAAUAUUUUAAAGAUACCAAUUAUCUAAUGAGCCCAUAAUGAACUUUUCUGAUUUAAGCUACAUGUAUCCCAAAAGAACAUAUUACGCGUGGCUCAAUUUGGUUGUUCGACAGGCUCCAAAGUUGCUCAAAUCAGUUGCUAUCUGUCUGAUAAAGAGAAAAGGUGAAAAAAUAUAUGAGUUUAAAGCACAGUGAGUGGAUAAUUUUCAAAUUAAUAAACAUUUCUCAUUUCUACAUAUUUUUUGAAAAUUCUUCCACUUCUAAAACUUCUAAAAAUUCUAAAAUCUAGUAAAACUUUUAAUCAAACAUGAAUAUUUCAUAAAAUUCUUUGUUCUUCAUUUUAGAUAAGUAACUGUAAAAUGUAACGAAUAUAAAUAAUAUGACAUCCGUGAAAAUUUGUGAAGUAUUGCUGCUGCUCAAUACUAUAAACUGAAAGUUUUAAUCUGAAAACUGAAUAGAUUGAAUUCUAUAAUCUGAAAUCUAAUAAACUUUAGAAAUACUGAAAAAUCACAUAAAAAAGGUACCCAAUGAAUAGUCUUACUCACGUACAGAGUAAUCUCGAUGUACAAGGAAAAGACAUUUAAUUCUGUAAUUCUGAAAUUCUAUAAUUCUAAUCAUACGCGCGCAGAAUUGAUAUUCUGUAAUUCUGGUCAUACACUAUGGAAAUACAUUCACAAUAGUGCAGAGCAGAUAAAAUCAAACAUAAUUGGUCAUAUACUGUUAAAAAAACAUUCACACCAGUGCACACAAUGAUAAAAUCACCUGAGUACUUUCUGGUGAUUUUAAAUAAUAACUUUAAAUAUGCUAAAAUAUUUAAUACUGAAAUAAUAUGUCAAGAAAUAAUUUAACUAAAAUGAAUUUAACUUUUAUAAACAUUUGAUAAUAAAAUUCGUUUUAUUCUGAAAAAUCAUGCUAUCAACUCAACUUAUAAAAUACGUAACUUCAAAAUUCAAUAAAUAAUUAUUUCUGAAAAAUAAGUUUUAUUGGAAACUCACCAAGUCAUAGUUGAUCAUUGUUUUGAUCUUCUUGUCGCCUCCUCACUUUCAAUACCAAGAAGGUUAUCACGCUCUCGCUAUAAUAAAUCCUAUCUCUUCAUAGAGGAGCCUUGAGUAUUUUUCUGCCAUUUGAAAUAUUAAUUUACCAAUGGGAACUUGAUAUAUUUUAUUUUCAAUUUCAUAAUCCCAAUUAAGGUCACUAACAAUAUAUACUCCUUCAUAUAAAUUAUUUUAACACCAAAACCCUAAAUAUUCAACACUUAAUUUGGUUUCAAAUAUUAAAAAUUCACCAAAAUUAGAUGAUUGACAAAACUAGUACUAUAAUUCUAGAAUAUUGAAAACUAGCAACAAUGUCUACAUACUAAAAUCUGUCACCGAAAUCAUGGACAGAAAUAGCACUUAUUCGGGCAGAUUUUCAAAAAUAGCACUUAGACUACAAUAGCUCGAAAAUGGCUGAAAAUUAGAGAAUUUCAACUUCAAAUCCUUAAUUUAAGUGUUUAACACUAUAUAAUCACAAGAAUUUUAAAGAAUAUGCUUUUAUUUUACAAACCCAUUUCCAAAGUUUCCACUUUCUUCAACAUCAAUAUCCAAAUAAAUAUUUCUUUGCUAUAUCCUUAUUUAUAACAUUAAAUACACAUCAAUAACACAUUAUUCUUGCCAACCUUUUAAUUAAAGCAAAUUUCCCAUAACCCUUAAUAAUUUAAUUCAAUAUACUUUAUACUUACCAUGCUAAAUCAAAGAGAAAUUGAAAAACUUGAAAACCUUAGCUUGAAACCAUUUACUUUCUUUCUUCUUCUUUCUUCCCUUCUCUUUUCUUCUCUCUCGGGUUCUCUCGAGCCUUUUCUCAUUUUUCCCCCAAAAUUCGAGAAAAUGGUUAAUAUAGAUGAUAUUUAAUGGAUAAUUAUUGAAGAAUUGCAAGUCAAGUCCCUCCUUUUAUGUUUUAAAGGAAGUCUAAUCAUUAACUUUCCAUUCUUGUAAAAUAAAUCCUCAAAUUUAAAUGAUGUCCAUGUUAAACCCUCAAGUAUUGUCAAUUUGUAAAAUAACCCCAAUAGAAUAAUUUACUUCAUUAAAGUCCUUAUUUGACUUUGACUUUGACUAGUCAAUUGGGUUGUAUUGUUUAUCGUGGAUUAUUGUUAUAGAACUUGUUGUUUUUCAUUAAUUAGAUUUUAAUUGAAUUGAUAUACUAUCUUUAUUAUAUUUGAGAUAAUUAACAAGGAAUAUAGCAUGUAUAGCAACUUUUUUGAGAUCCGAUAAGGAAUAGAAAUAUACUACUAUAUCUUACAUGAUUUAGUUAAGACUUUCGUGACAUUAAUGUAUUAUUUCAUGUUCGCAUCUUCCAUAGUUAUAUAGGAAAGUCACAUGUGAGAUAUGUUUAACUCAAUUCGAAAGAAAUUAUUAAAUAAAAUAGGAAUAUUAAUCAACAAUUAUAAACGAUUUUGUCAUGGUUAUGAAUUAUAUUAAAAUGGAUUAAUAAACAAGUUUUUUUUUUUUUUUUAAAUUAUCUCUUUCAAGAUUUUGUAUGAAAAGUUCGAGAUAAUGUGAUCUUACUCCAUUUAAUCAAGAAAUUGAGUAGGCAUUCAUGUUGAAACGAAAAGUACAGAAGUAACACCAAAACAACAACAAAAUAAAUAGCACAUCCAGGUGUCAUGAUAAUCAAUAAAAUCGUAUAAAAUAUGGUUAAUGUGAUUGUUAAUUAGAAUGGGAGUCUUAUUAGUGAAUAUUUGGUUGUGCCAGUUGUCAAAAAUCAGUCAAGCGUGGCAUAUCCAACAUUUGGGCAAGCAAAUUUCCACUUGAGGACAUAUGUAAUCAAUAGUUCCAAAAUGCCUUGCAGUUCUUUGGAAGAUCAAACACAAAUAUGAAUAUUUAUAUUUCGAGGUUUUUGGAUAUAGGGAAAAUUGUAGUAGCAGUACUUAACCUUUUUAUUUUUUGCAGACUUUAUCCUAAAUUUUAUUAUGUGCCAGUGAAGGUCCUUAACCUUUCAUAAAUAUGUGCAUGAGGUCCAAAUGAAUGAAAAUCGUGAUCGAAAAAAUUCUUUGAACUACUUGCUAUUGCUACGAUUUUAUUAGAUGUUGAUACCUUUUUAGAUGGUAUUUUUGGAGUGUGUUUCAGACAGCUUUAUUGAAUGUCGAUUCCUUAAUUUUCCAUGUCAACUAAUAAUGUUUUGGACGGUUUCCGUCUAGAUGGAUUUCAGGUGCAUAUUUAUGAAAGGUUAGAAACUUCCAAUGGCAUAAAAUGAAGGUUAAGGUAGGGAUGUCAAUGAGCCGAGCCGAGUCGGCUUGAGUAAAAUGAAAUGGGCUUUUUUCGAGCCCGACCCGAGCAAAAGCUCGACGAAAAAUAAAGACUUGAUCCGAGCUUUCGGCUUGAGCCUUAGCGAGCUAAGCUGGGCCGGCUAGAUUUUUUCUCUCUUUUUUUCUUUCUUUUUUUUUUUUAAAUAAUUAAUAAGGUAGCUAGCUGUUGCCUUGCCUUAAAAUAAGGCAGUAGCUUGCUGCCUUAAGCUGCUGCCUUAUUUGGUUGCCUUUUUUUAACAUUUUGUGGAUUUUUUUUUUUUUUUUUUGCUUUUUUUUUUUUUUUUUUAAGUCUCUGGCCGGCUCGGGCUAAGCUCGGAACAUAAAAAUUGGGGCUCGACCCAAGCCAGCUUGAGCUUUUUCCGGGUCGAGCCACGGGGGGCUCGAGCCGGUGAGCCCAGUUGACAUCCAUAGGUUAGGGUAAAGUUUGCAAAAAAUGAAAAUAUUAGGGAUCUCUGUUGCAAUUUUUCCCUAGAUAUAUGGGGGCACUAUUGAACAUUGGAUGUUUCAAGUGAUGCAAUACGGUUGAGAUUAUUUCUAUGCACAUUGUGAGACUUGACUAGAUAGUUGUUGGAUACAUUCUUAACUGACUACAUUACCACGUGGAAUAGUUUAUGCCAAAAAAUUUUAACAAAUUUUUCCCCUCGGAAAAAAGAAAAAAAGAAAUCACCAUAUUUUCGUAGUUUGAUUUGGAAUUUUAUUAAGAGGUACGGGAAAGAUACAAGGGAUUGCUCGCUAGUGCCCACAACAUAGUUUGCAGAUAUAAGUGUUUUAGAAGCUGAAAUAAUUGAGGAUCUACCUUUGAAAGUACAUACUCUGUUCCAGUAAACAUGCCUCCAAUUCUAUAUCAUCGAAGAUUUCGAAAAAGGACGGAAUUGAAAGUGGUUCAGGCAAUUGCUACACCGAGUGGAGUUCAACUUCCAAAAUUACAGUUUAAGAUCAAGAAAAAUAAUCUGAUUUUUUAUUUAUUUAUUUAUUUUUUCCAAAUUUUGGCUUGGAGAAGAAGAUUCUUGAUGCGAGAUCUUAUUAUUUUAUUCAUCUUUGUUUUCAAAAUUCAGUACUGAACUCUAUUCUUUUAAUUAUUUUCUUUCAUUUGUUUGAGUAUCUAAAUUCUUAGGAAAAAUGAUAUAAAC
RNAcentral lists this long non-coding RNA (7182 nucleotides) under Olea europaea subsp. europaea. The record is from RNAcentral. Lineage: Eukaryota; Viridiplantae; Streptophyta; Magnoliopsida; Lamiales; Oleaceae.